RNAcentral lists this ribosomal RNA (555 nucleotides) under uncultured Bacteroidota bacterium. Its description in RNAcentral is "bacterial SSU rRNA". It matches the Rfam family "Bacterial small subunit ribosomal RNA", at positions 68 to 618 of the family's 1533-position model. The record is from RNAcentral. Lineage: Bacteria; Pseudomonadati; Bacteroidota.
AGCGCGGGGCAGCAAUGUUCUGGCGGCGACCGGCGGAAGGGUGCGUAACGCGUGAGCGACAUGCCCGUUGCCCGGGGACAACCGGUGGAAACGCCGACUAAUCCCCGAUGGGACGGAGGCCCUCAUGGGUCUCCGUUGAAAGUUACGGCGGCGACGGAUUGGCUCGCGUCCGAUUAGCUUGUUGGCGGGGUAACGGCCCACCAAGGCUACGAUCGGUAGGGGUUCUGAGAGGAAGGUCCCCCACAAUGGAACUGAGACACGGUCCAUACUCCUACGGGAGGCAGCAGUGAGGAAUAUUGGUCAAUGGGCGGAAGCCUGAACCAGCCAUGCCGCGUGCGGGAAGGAGGCCCUAUGGGCUGUGAACCGCUUUUGCCUGGGGGCAAUAAGGGCGUCGUGCACGUCCGAUGAGAGUACCAGGCGAAUAAGCAUCGGCUAACUCCGUGCCAGCAGCCGCGGUAAUACGGGGGAUGCGAGCGUUAUCCGGAUUCAUUGGGUUUAAAGGGUGCGUAGGCUGUGCGUCAAGUCAGGGGUGAAAUUUCCGGGGCUCAACUCCGG